AACGAACGCUGGCGGCAUGCCUAACACAUGCAAGUCGAACGAGACCUUCGGGUCUAGUGGCGCACGGGUGCGUAACGCGUGGGAACCUGCCCUUAUGUUCGGAAUAACUCCCCGAAAGGGGUGCUAAUACCGGAUAAUGUCUUCGGACCAAAGAUUUAUCGCCUUUGGAUGGGCCCGCGUUGGAUUAGCUAGUUGGUAGGGUAAAAGCCUACCAAGGCGACGAUCCAUAGCUGGUCUGAGAGGAUGAUCAGCCACACUGGGACUGAGACACGGCCCAGACUCCUACGGGAGGCAGCAGUGGGGAAUAUUGGACAAUGGGCGAAAGCCUGAUCCAGCAAUGCCGCGUGAGUGAUGAAGGCCUUAGGGUUGUAAAGCUCUUUUACCCGGGAUGAUAAUGACAGUACCGGGAGAAUAAGCCCCGGCUAACUCCGUG
Molecule: ribosomal RNA, 433 nt
Filed under: uncultured bacterium
Lineage: Bacteria
Description: partial 16S ribosomal RNA
Rfam family: Bacterial small subunit ribosomal RNA
Source: RNAcentral